This 372-nucleotide ribosomal RNA is filed under the name uncultured cyanobacterium. RNAcentral's name for it is "bacterial SSU rRNA". It matches the Rfam family "Bacterial small subunit ribosomal RNA", at positions 409 to 795 of the family's 1533-position model. The record is from RNAcentral. Lineage: Bacteria; Bacillati; Cyanobacteriota.
AGAAGGCUCUUGGGGUUGUAAACCUCUUUUCUCAGGGAAGAAGCUCUGACGGUACCUGAGGAAUCAGCCUCGGCUAACUCCGUGCCAGCAGCCGCGGUAAUACGGAGGAGGCAAGCGUUAUCCGGAAUUAUUGGGCGUAAAGCGUCCGCAGGUGGCGAUUCAAGUCUGCUGUCAAAGCACGGGGCUUAACUCCGUUAAGGCAGUGGAAACUGAAUAGCUAGAGUGCCGUAGGGGUAGAGGGAAUUCCCGGUGUAGCGGUGAAAUGCGUAGAGAUCGGGAAGAACAUCGGUGGCGAAAGCGCUCUACUGGGCCGCAACUGACACUGAGGGACGAAAGCUAGGGGAGCGAAUGGGAUUAGAUACCCCAGUAGUC